AACGAACGCUGGCGGCGCGCCUAAUACAUGCAAGUCGAGCGAGAAGACGUAGCAAUACGUUUGUAAAGCGGCGAACGGGUGAGGAAUACAUGGGUAACCUACCCUCGAGUGGGGAAUAACUAGCCGAAAGGUUAGCUAAUACCGCGUACGCUCCUUGGACUUCGGUUCAGGGAGGAAAGCGAUACCGUGGGUAUCGCGCUCUUGGAUGGGCUCAUGUCCUAUCAGCUUGUUGGUGAGGAACGGCUCACCAAGGCUUCGACGGGUAGCUGGUCUGAGAGGACAAUCAGCCACACUGGCACUGCGACACGGGCCAGACUCCUAUGGGAGGCAGCAGUGGGGAAUCUUGCGCAAUGGGCGAAAGCCUGACGCAGCGACGCCGCGUGCGGGAUGACGG
RNAcentral lists this ribosomal RNA (394 nucleotides) under uncultured bacterium. RNAcentral's name for it is "bacterial SSU rRNA". It matches the Rfam family "Bacterial small subunit ribosomal RNA", at positions 29 to 414 of the family's 1533-position model. The record is from RNAcentral.